Molecule: non-coding RNA, 69 nt
Organism: Podarcis lilfordi (Lilford's wall lizard)
Lineage: Eukaryota; Metazoa; Chordata; Lepidosauria; Squamata; Lacertidae
Source: the annotation of a GenBank genome assembly
GGCCAUAGCUCAGUGGUAGAGCAUCUGCUUUGCAUGCAGAAGGCUCCAGGUUCAAUCCUGGUGGGGCUG